UACGGAGGGUGCAAGCGUUAUCCGGAUUCACUGGGCUUAAAGGGUGCGUAGGUGGGCUGGUAAGUCAGUGGUGAAAUCUCCAGGCUUAACUUGGAAACUGCCAUUGAUACUAUCAGUCUUGAAUACCGUGGAGGUCAGCGGAGUAUGUCAUGUAGCGGUGAAAUGCUUAGAUAUGACAUAGAACACCAAUUGCGAAGGCAGCUGGCUACACAAAUAUUGACACUGAGGCACGAAAGCGUGGGGAUCAAACAGG
Molecule: ribosomal RNA, 253 nt
Filed under: uncultured bacterium
Lineage: Bacteria
Description: partial 16S ribosomal RNA
Rfam family: Bacterial small subunit ribosomal RNA
Source: RNAcentral